AGCAGAAGGCAGUGAGGAGCUAGUGGCUCAUAGAACAUUCCAGGCUUGAGAAGGAGCAGGGAGCAACCCAGGAGCCAGGGAAGGGCUGAGGGGAGAGAGGAAGAGGAGCCUGGGAAGGUUGAAAGUGGAGCCCAGAGACUGGGCAGAAGAGCAUGUGAAUUGGAGAAGGGAAGACAGAGCCCUUGGGAGGACCCUUGCUUUGACCAGAAAUCCAGUGCAACCAAGACCAUAUCAAACUAUCCUACAGCAAGGAAAACAGAAGCACGAGAUUAUGACACAGGGAAAUCGUGAACUGGAAGUGUUACAGAGCAAUGAUGGGGAAAUAAAGGCAGUGAUGCCAUAUAGCCCAGAUGGGAAAGAGAGCCUCCAUCAACUGCAUAACUUCUAGUUAAGUUAAAGCACAUCUUUUUAGGAAGACUAUCAAAGUUUAUUUAAGGACUUCAAGUGAUGGUGAAUACAUCACUUUUUUCUUUGACCCCAGAUCAUUUGUGUGGCUCUCUUGAAAGACUGGAAAGAGUUCAGAACAUCCUCUUUGAAGUAAGGACACCAGAACUGGACACAAUAUUCCCGUGAGGUUCUCACCAAUGCCAUAUAUGGAGCUUGUUGCUCAAGACAUUGAAUAGCAGUGGACCAAGAACAGAUCCCUAUGGAAAACCACUAGAAACAUCCCAAUUUGAUAAUGAUUUGCCUUUGACAAUUACUAUUUGAAAUCACU
Mauremys mutica (yellowpond turtle) is the source of this 715-nucleotide long non-coding RNA. RefSeq lists it as uncharacterized. NCBI's taxonomy places the organism in Eukaryota, Metazoa, Chordata, Testudines, Geoemydidae. The transcript has 5 exons. The record is from RefSeq and is a predicted model, not a curated record.